AUACAGAGGGUGCAAGCGUUAAUCGGAUUUACUGGGCGUAAAGCGCGCGUAGGCGGCUAAUUAAGUCAAAUGUGAAAUCCCCGAGCUUAACUUGGGAAUUGCAUUCGAGACUGGUUAGCUAGAGUGUGGGAGAGAAUGGUAGAAUUCCAGGUGUAGCGGUGAAAUGCGUAGAGAUCUGGAGGAAUACCGAUGGCGAAGGCAGCCAUCUGGCCUAACACUGACGCUGAGGUGCGAAAGCAUGGGGAGCAAACAGGAUUAGAAACCCCGGUAGUCC
RNAcentral lists this ribosomal RNA (274 nucleotides) under uncultured bacterium. RNAcentral's name for it is "partial 16S ribosomal RNA". It matches the Rfam family "Bacterial small subunit ribosomal RNA", at positions 523 to 796 of the family's 1533-position model. The record is from RNAcentral.